RNAcentral lists this ribosomal RNA (464 nucleotides) under uncultured bacterium. Its description in RNAcentral is "SSU rRNA". It matches the Rfam family "Bacterial small subunit ribosomal RNA", at positions 26 to 523 of the family's 1533-position model. The record is from RNAcentral.
AGAAUCAACGCUGGCGGCGCGCUUAACACAUGCAAGUCGAGCGAGAAAGUGGAGCAAUCCAUGAGUAAAGCGGCGUACGGGUGAGUAGCACGUGGAUCAUCUACCUUUUUGUGGGGGAUAACCCUGGGAAACCGGAGCUAAUACCGCAUAAGUCCGUAAGGAGAAAGCAGCAAUGCGCUGAAAGAGGAGUCCGCGGCCGAUUAGCUAGUUGGUGAGGUAACGGCUCACCAAGGCGAUGAUCGGUAGCCGGCCUGAGAGGGCACACGGCCACACUGGCACUGAAACACGGGCCAGACUCCUACGGGAGGCAGCAGUGGGGAAUCUUGCACAAUGGGGGCAACCCUGAUGCAGCGACGCCGCGUGAACGAUGAAGCCCUUCGGGGUGUAAAGUUCUUUCGGCAGGGACGAUAAUGACGGUACCUGAAGAGAAGCUGCGGCUAACUACGUGCCAGCAGCCGCGGUAA